This is a non-coding RNA of Pelobates cultripes (western spadefoot toad), 360 nucleotides long. The record is from the annotation of a GenBank genome assembly. NCBI's taxonomy places the organism in Eukaryota, Metazoa, Chordata, Amphibia, Anura, Pelobatidae.
GUUCCUUUAAGGUUUGGUUCCAUAAGAUCCUUAAAAAAAUAUUCAACUAGGGUUUGAUAUCUCUUUUCGGUGUUGCUAUAUACUUCUCUAGGUCUCACCCAAAACCUAGAUUGGUUACUCUAGAACCCUGCUGCUAUUACCAGAUGUCAAACAUUCUAAGUCACAUUUCAAAGUCCUCAGUAUCACCAACAGGUACCUUUUGUGUAAUGCAAAACUGGUGUAGGAAUCAUUUAGAAUUAACAUUUGGCUAUGUCCAUACCACUGUAUGGGGCCAUGGCACAAUCACCCUGGGCAAUGAUAUUAAGAAAUGCACGAAUGAGCUAAGGAGACAAAAGAAUAGCAUGUCUGUUCUACUGGAAG